CAUUUGCCAAAUGAAAUGUCUCGAGCUACUAUUAUUUUGGCCCCAAAAAUCACUGUCCAAACCUUUCCCACCUCAAAAUUCAAAACCCUAGCCCUCAGAAUCCGCCACGCACAGAACACUCGCCAUUACUCCCUCGCUAGCUCAUCAAAGCAGCACAGCGACAUGUCGCACUUCGGCCGAUCUGGUCCUCCAGAUAUCAGAGACACCUUUUCUCUCCUCGUCCUCAACAUCACUUUCCGCACCACCGCCGACGAUCUUUUCCCUCUCUUCGACAAGUACGGCAAGGUAGUUGAUGUAUUUAUACCUCGCGAUCGAAGGACUGGAGAAUCGAGAGGUUUUGCCUUUGUGAGGUAUAAAUAUGCUGAUGAGGCACAAAAGGCAGUUGAUAAACUUGAUGGGAGAGCUGUGGACGGGAGAGAGAUUAUGGUGCAAUUUGCCAAGUAUGGUCCUAAUGCGGAGCGAAUUCGGGAUGGGAGGAUAGUGGAAUCAACUUCAAAGAUAAAGAGUAGGUCCAGAAGCCGCAGCCCUCGUCCAAAGUAUCGGGAUGGCUACAGGGACCGGGACAGGGAUUACAGAAGGAGAAGUCGCAGUAGAAGCAGGGAUCGAUAUGAACGGGAUGGGAAUCGAGGUAGGGAUAAAGAUUAUCAUCGCCGAAGUGUGAGUUGCAGCCCUGAUCGCCGCAAAGACCGUGGUAGAGGAUAUUAUGAGGAACGACGCAGUCGGAGCCUGUCUCAUGGAAGCCCUGAUUCUCCAAGGAGUCCUCCACGCAAGGCUCAUCUCAGGGAUGAAAGUCCUAAUGGACACAAUGAUAACAAACACUCUCCUACUUCAAAGAGCAUCUCUCCUCAUGAUGAACCGGUGGAUUCUUGAGCCUAUUUGCAGGAAGAUCUGAUACUGAUGAGUGGUGGGAAUUCUGCUCUUUGAGUGGCGUGUCCCUACUUUUAAUUUGUCUGGAUGAGGCUUUGGUCCUGGAGCCAACUUCCACUGGUGAAGGGUUUAGUUUCCAUUGACAGAUUGACUACCAAUGCUGCCUGCCUUCUCCAUUCUUUGGCACGUUUAAACGGAAGGGGAAAUUCAGGGCAAAAAGGAUCGAUCCAAAUCCAAAAUAAAAUGAAAACUGGUACCAUUUUUGUCGUUUUGUUUGGAUUGUACAUAUUUAUUAGUAUCAACAGGGCUGCAAACAAAGUGCUUUAUCUAUGCUUGAGAAGCUCGUCUGAAACUCGUGAAUCAUUAGGAUGCAAUAUUGAAGGAUCCCACGGAGCAGUGCUACCUUAAAUCGAGACAAGGGGGAAGUUAAUUCUACCAAAAGAUAUUUUGUAUUACCCACCAUGAAUGUGCGAUUUGGUUCCUCGUGUUCUUUUAGGUAGUGUAGGUAGUGUUUGGUUCGGAGUAGCAACUGGCUUGGGAUUUCCUGCAACUUCGCUGGAGGUAUCGCUAGAAUGAACCUUGCCUAUUCAGUUUUCAAAGGCAGUCUGCGGAUGCUUCAUUAUCAUCGUUUCCUGGUCUCUCAUGUUGGUCCUGCCAUAAAUGAACUCUUUGGUUCCAUCUCACGCGGAUCAGUCAGGUCUCCAACUCAUCUAUCUUGAUUUGUCGUUUAAUCAGAUGCCCAGGAAUACUCCAACCUGAAAUCAGCCUCCUUGUUGUAAAUCAGUUAACUGGUUCAGUUCCUCAAGAAAUGGGUUGAUUACGGUCCGUUCUGAACUAGUUUUGCUUGGCAACCAGUUAUGUGGUCAAAUGUCUGCUUCAUUGGGAGAUUUGAGGUGUCUGACUUUUCUAUUUUCGCACCAAAGUAACCUUUCUGGUUCCAUUCCACCGGAAAUGGGAAAGUUUUCCAAUUUAGUUGAACUUUACGUGGAUACCAAUUAUCUAUCAGGACACAUCCCUAAUAAGAUCUACGAAGUUAAUUAUGUUCUUCAUGUACCAAAAUCAACUUUCUGCUCCGAGUCCCGAUGAAAUCAGAUACUUGAAGUCCCACCAACAGCUAAGCCUCUUCGGAAACCAUCUUUCCGGCUCUUUCCAGCAGCAAUUGGUGGCCUGAGAAAUUUCACCCAUCUUCGUCUCUACAAAAAUCGACUUUCUGGCUCCCUUCCUGAAGAGCUAGGAAACUUGGAGUCUUUUGUUGAUCUAGAGUUGGGCAACAAUCAAUUGAGCGGCCCGGUUCCUGCUUCAAUUGGUAAUUUGACCAACCUGGAAGUGUAUUCUUCGCAACAACCUACUCUCCGGCUCUAUUUCUGAAGAGAAGGCAUAUCUUAAAAAAGUUCGUUUUGGCUUUUGCCAAAAACAUUUGCCAAACUCAAUCACUUCAAAACUUCUGUCAAUAACAACAAACUCACAGGUCCAAUCCCCAAAAGCUUGAGAGAUUGCAAAAGCUUUGUAAGAGCCCACCUGAAGUAAACCAACUGGCUGGAAAUAUUUCUGAA
RNA transcript from Populus nigra (black poplar), 2420 nucleotides. It is a transcript of the gene named serine/arginine-rich splicing factor SC35-like, with no coding region annotated. NCBI's taxonomy places the organism in Eukaryota, Viridiplantae, Streptophyta, Magnoliopsida, Malpighiales, Salicaceae. The transcript is spliced from 9 exons. The record is from RefSeq and is a predicted model, not a curated record.